This is a long non-coding RNA of Hibiscus syriacus, 1391 nucleotides long. RefSeq lists it as uncharacterized. The record is from RefSeq and is a predicted model, not a curated record. The transcript is spliced from 3 exons. NCBI's taxonomy places the organism in Eukaryota, Viridiplantae, Streptophyta, Magnoliopsida, Malvales, Malvaceae.
GGUUCCUUUUAAACCUAAUCUAUCCUUCCAUCAUCUGUCUUCAUCGUCCCAUCGCUCUCUCGUCUUCCAACCGUGACCACCAGCCAUCGUAGCCACCAACCGUGACAACCAUCCAUCUACUCUCCUACCCGGCCUCUAGAUCCUGUCUCCUACCAUCGAUCUCCACUGACCUUCAAGCAGCAAUCGGAUUUCGACCUCCACUUCUGCAGGAAAAAUGUACCGACUUAGUUUAACAACACGCAAUCGUAGACAACGACAAACGUCAUUGAUCUUGACAUGGUGGAACCUGGUUUUGCAUAUUGUUGUAGUCCUCUUGUUAAUGAUGUUUAAAGAACAUAGAGAUAGACCACGUCUUAAACAUUUUUCUUCAAAUGUAGAUUGAUACCCAAAACUACAUAGGUACGUUUAUGAGAGUGACACCAUGUUUAUAUCACAAAUUAGGAUGCCUCGAAGGUGUUUUACGAAGUUGUGUCAUAUGCUUGAAAUAUUUGGAGGCCUAAAACCAAGUAGGAAUAUGAAUAUUGAUGAACAAGUUGCCAUUUUUCUCUAUAUUCUUGCUCAUUGCUCACAAUGUUAAGAAUCGCGCCAUCAUAUAUCGCUUUCGUCGUCAGGGAGAAACCAUUAGUAGGCAUUUUGCUCGAGUUUGUAAUGCAGUCAUACGCUUGUAUACUCGUUUGCUUAAGAAACCGAACCCGUGCCUGAUAAUUUUACAGAUCAAAGAUGGAAAUGGUUUAAGAAUUGUUUAGGAGCUUUAGAUGGAACAUAUAUAAAAUGUCUAGUUCCAGUUGAAGAAAAGCCUAGAUAUAGAACAAGAAAGAAUGAUAUUUCAACAAACGUUCUAGGGGUUUGUUCCCAAGAUAUGCAAUUUAUAUACGUGUUAACGGGAUGGGAGGGGUCAGCGGCGGAUGGUAGAGUUCUUCGGGAUGCUCUUCUUAGACCUCAUUGAUUGAAAGUUCCAAGACCGGGUUAUUAUUUAGUUGAUGUCGGAUACACAAAUGGAGAGGGCUUUUAGCCCUUAUAGAGGUCAAAGGUAUCACUUAAAUGAAUGGCGUGAUGGACACCAACCGACUACAGCAAAGGAAUUCUUCAACAUGAAACAUUCUUCGGCAAGAAAUGUUAUCGAACGAUGUUUUAGCCUUUUGAAGGGAAGAUGGGGAAUAUUGAAGGACAAUUCGUAUUAUCCGAUCGAAACAAAAAAUAAGAUAAUAAUGGCAUGUUGUCACCUUCAUAAUUUCAUAAGACAAGAAAUGGAAGUAGAUCCAUUCGACGUCGAAUACGAGGGAACCAGAGAUCUUGGACAUGAAGAUGUGGAUAAUAUUAGUUCUAUCGGGACUUCGAACGAAUGGACCACGUUUAGAGAUAAUUUAACCGAAUCUAUGUUUGCAUCUAGG